Molecule: ribosomal RNA, 568 nt
Filed under: Phyllobates lugubris
Lineage: Eukaryota; Metazoa; Chordata; Amphibia; Anura; Dendrobatidae
Description: partial large subunit ribosomal RNA
Rfam family: Bacterial large subunit ribosomal RNA
Source: RNAcentral
AUCGCCUCUUGACCCCCAAUAAGAGGUCCAGCCUGCCCAGUGACACUGUUCAACGGCCGCGGUAUCCUAACCGUGCGAAGGUAGCGUAAUCACUUGUUCUUUAAUUGAGGACUAGUAUGAAUGGCUUCACGAGGACUAUACUGUCUCCUUUUUCUAAUCAAUGAAACUAAUCUUCCCGUGAAGAAGCGGGGAUAACUUUAUAAGACGAGAAGACCCUAUGGAGCUUUAAACAAUUGAAAUAUUUGCUUUUACUAACUACCUCUCGGGGACUAAAUAUAUUUAAGCAUAAUUAAUUUCUAGUUUUAGGUUGGGGUGACCACGGAGUAAAACUUAACCUCCACGCUGAAAGUAACGCCUUCUUAGCAAAAAGCCACAUCUUUAUGCAUCACCAAACUGACUUACAUUGACCCAAUUAUUUGAUCAACGAACCAAGUUACCCUAGGGAUAACAGCGCAAUCUACCUCAAGAGCCCGUAUUGACAGGUAGGUUUACGACCUCGAUGUUGGAUCAGGGUGUCCCGGUGGUGCAGCCGCUACUAAAGGUUCGUUUGUUCAACGAUUAAAACCCU